CUGAUGGCGACCGGCGCACGGGUGAGUAACGCGUAUCCAACCUGCCCUUUACUAUGGGACAGCCCGUCGAAAGGCGGAUUAAUACCGUAUGUUGUCAUGUUGAUGCAUAUUUUCAUGACCAAAGGCUUCGGCCGGUAAAGGAUGGGGAUGCGUCUGAUUAGCUUGCCGGCGGGGUAACGGCCCACCGGGGCGACGAUCAGUAGGGGUUCUGAGAGGAAGGUCCCCCACAUUGGAACUGAGACACGGUCCAAACUCCUACGGGAGGCAGCAG
This 271-nucleotide ribosomal RNA is filed under the name uncultured bacterium. Its description in RNAcentral is "partial 16S ribosomal RNA". It matches the Rfam family "Bacterial small subunit ribosomal RNA", at positions 85 to 354 of the family's 1533-position model. The record is from RNAcentral.